Long non-coding RNA from Dreissena polymorpha, 437 nucleotides. RefSeq lists it as uncharacterized. The transcript has 3 exons. The record is from RefSeq and is a predicted model, not a curated record. NCBI's taxonomy places the organism in Eukaryota, Metazoa, Mollusca, Bivalvia, Myida, Dreissenidae.
GGCCAUACCACGUGGUUUGUGACGUCAUUUUGGCUAGCACGCUAAGUAGAAAUUUGUCAACAUUGGCCCCGCUUAGAAAUUUAAAAUCCACAUACACAUGAUGACGACCGAAGAGCGAUAUAUUUGUGCCAUAUGCGCCAGAGGGGUACAAGCACAGGCGCUAUUUGGUUUACCAUGAAAGAACACACGCUGGGAUGUUACCCUUUAACUGUUGCGGCGUUGGGUUUUCAUCAAGACAACAAUUACAAAGACACAGGUGCAAUGUACACGGUGACGGAAAAACUAUCUUUGCCUUUAUUGUGGAAAAGAAUUCGCAACGAAAGUAGAUUUAGAUGCCCACUCGGCCCGAGAACAGCGCACUCGAAAGAUCGAGUGCGAGAUAUGCAACCACAAGGCCACAACACGGGCUCAUCUCCGAGAACAUCUCAAAACACACA